AUCAUCAGCUCGCAGUGCGGAUGCUGGAGCCGUUCGAAUGUUUGUCAACUCAGGAAUGGACAGGUCUACGGAAGAUUAUGUUAUUAUGGACGAUGUAACUCAUCCGGACCAAAUUCGAG
Dreissena polymorpha is the source of this 119-nucleotide long non-coding RNA. RefSeq lists it as uncharacterized. Lineage: Eukaryota; Metazoa; Mollusca; Bivalvia; Myida; Dreissenidae. The transcript has 3 exons. The record is from RefSeq and is a predicted model, not a curated record.